GAGAGGUGCUGCAUGGCUGUCGUCAGCUCGUGUUGUGAAAUGUUGGGUUAAGUCUCGCAACGAGCGCAACCCCUAUCGUCUGUUGCCAGCAUUAAGUUGGGCACUCUGACGAGACUGCCUGGGUUAACCAGGAGGAAGGUGGGGAUGACGUCAAGUCCUCAUGGCCCUUAUGUCUAGGGCUACACACGUAAUACAAUGGCACGUACAGAGGGAAGCGAACCAGCGAUGGGAAGCAAAUCUCAAAAAACGUGCCUCAGUUCGGAUUGGAGUCUGCAACUCGACUCCAUGAAGUUGGAAUCGCUAGUA
Molecule: ribosomal RNA, 306 nt
Filed under: uncultured Peredibacter sp.
Lineage: Bacteria; Pseudomonadati; Bdellovibrionota; Bacteriovoracia; Bacteriovoracales; Bacteriovoracaceae
Description: bacterial SSU rRNA
Rfam family: Bacterial small subunit ribosomal RNA
Source: RNAcentral